This 496-nucleotide ribosomal RNA is filed under the name uncultured bacterium. RNAcentral's name for it is "partial 16S ribosomal RNA". It matches the Rfam family "Bacterial small subunit ribosomal RNA", at positions 28 to 523 of the family's 1533-position model. The record is from RNAcentral.
GAUGAACGCUAGCGGCAGGCCUAAUACAUGCAAGUCGAGGGGUAGAAGAGGCUUGCUUCUUUGAGACCGGCGCACGGGUGCGUAACGCGUAUGCAACCUACCUUCAUCUGGGGGAUAGCCCGGAGAAAUCCGGAUUAAUACCGCAUAAAAUCACAGGAUGGCAUUAUCCAAAGAUCAAACAUUUAUGGGAUGGAGAUGGGCAUGCGUGUCAUUAGCUAGUUGGCGGGGUAACGGCCCACCAAGGCGACGAUGACUAGGGGAUCUGAGAGGAUGGCCCCCCACACUGGUACUGAGACACGGACCAGACUCCUACGGGAGGCAGCAGUAAGGAAUAUUGGUCAAUGGAGGCAACUCUGAACCAGCCAUGCCGCGUGCAGGAAGACUGCCCUAUGGGUUGUAAACUGCUUUUAUUCGGGAAUAAACCUUAUUACGUGUAAUAAGCUGAAUGUACCGAAGGAACAAGGAUCGGCUAACUCCGUGCCAGCAGCCGCAGUAA